This 2131-nucleotide long non-coding RNA is filed under the name Anas platyrhynchos platyrhynchos (common mallard). Its description in RNAcentral is "lncRNA (ENSAPLG00000027246.1)". Lineage: Eukaryota; Metazoa; Chordata; Aves; Anseriformes; Anatidae. The record is from RNAcentral.
CCCCCAAAAUCCCCCAAAAUCCUCGCAGGGGGACUGAUCGGUGGCUGAAAGCCCCUUACCCAGCAUCUGGCACAGCUCGGAGCACCAGUGGGCAAGACCCGAGGGGCUCUCUGCACCCAAGGAUGCUCACAGCAGCCUCGUCCCAUCCCGUCCUGCUGCAGGGGGGGUCUGGGGCUGAACACCACCCCCCUUGGGGACACCCAAAACCUCCUCGCCCUCGCCGGCAGCCGCUGGUCUCCACCCGCCAGCCCCGGCGCCAGGGCUUUCCAGCGGUUCCCAGCGCUUUCCAGCGGUGGUUUUGAAAGAGCCGCAUUGUCUGCCUCCCCCCCCCCCGCCGUGGCCCCCUGCUUCUCCGUGUGUUGGGGGGGGUCUGGGCAGCGAGCUCUCCCCCAGCAGGAUCAGCCUCACCCCCUCCGUGCCUCAGUUUCCCCCCUGGCACCUUUUGGGGCGCAGGGGGAGUGGGGCUCAGCCCCCCGAACCCCCAGAUCCCUGGAAACGGUAGGCAGGGAAAAAACAAGGGGGGGCCUGGGGAAUCCGAGGGUCCCCAGUGGGUGCCAAAAGGGUCCCCGAGGGGCGCGGGGGGGGCUGAGUCGCAGCCCCCUUUGUGAGAGCCCCCCCUCCCCUCUCCCUGCAGGACACCAUGGUCCCGUGGGACCCCACGUGGUGCCUGCUGCUGGGGCUCUGCGCCCUGCUCCCCGUCGCCGGCACCCAGGGGACCCCAACCGAGGAUGCGGCGCCGGGGGUCCCCGAGCGCUGCGGCGUCACCUUCCACACCCCCAACCCCUGCGGGGCCCCCCAGGCUCCCCCCUCGGCCUCUCGCCAAGAGCUGGAGCAUCUCCAGAGCCUCCUGCAGCAAACCAGGGCCAGCCUACAGGACGUGGAAGCGGCGGCGGCGCUGGAGGAGCACCGGCCCCGCUACCAGGACGUGAUCGCCGAGGCGCUGCCCGCCAUCCGCGGGGCCAACCGGGAGUUCCAGGAGAGCCUGGACAACGUCCGCAGGGAGCUGGAGGCGCACGUGGCCGAGAGCGAGCACCCGCAGGAGGUGGAGAAGAGGGAGAAGCUGCGGAAGGACGUCCGAGUGGUGGCCCACGUCCUGCGGCUCACCGCCCGCCUGGCCCGCGCCCUCGACGCCUCCUCGCAACGCCUCCAGGACGAGCUCCACCAGCGCCUGCAGCGCUCGGCCGCCCGCGCUGCUGCCACCCCCCAGCCCUAAGGCUCUGCCCCCCACUUUCUAUAUGGCCUUGCUUGCUGGUAGGACCCUAUUUUGCCCCCCAGCCGGCUCGCCCCCACCGCUUUCGGGGUGCCUGGCUCCUCCGCGCGGUCCCUGGGGUUUGGGGGAGCGAGCUGGGUGCCGGGCUGGCACCGGCGCACUGCCCGUAGCCCCAGCCCCAAGUUUUUAACGCAUUUAUCCCGCAGGAGCUGCGCCCUGCUGGGGCACAACCCCGUGCACCCUACGCACGGGGAGAUCCCCCCCCCCCCGCUGCAGGCUCCUUCCCACCAGAGCUCUGCGCCCUCGGGCCCUCCCCGAGGUUGCUUUGUGCAUGCAGCUCGCCAGACUCGUGUGCCAGUAUCUGGGGGCUCCCCAGCACCCCCAGAGUGCCUUAAAAACGAACCCCAAAUCCUUCGGGGCUCGGCUGGUGACCUCCCCGCAUCGCAGCCCUCCUGGAUGCGUCCCCGCGUGGGCAGAGCCACCGCCAGCCCCCGUUAAUCCGUCACCCGGCCUGAAACACCCCCAGCACCCCCCGGCUGCUGGGAGCAGGAGGCUGGGGGGCUGCCAGAAUGGGGACAGGGAUGGGGACAGGGAUGGGGACAAGGUGGCUGCGCAUGUGCACGAACCACCCAGCAGUAAAAUCGAAGCUGGCAACCGGAGUGCACCGAGCCCAGGGGGGGUUUGGGCACCAGGAAAAGAGCUGGAGGCAGAACACCCCGCUGUUUUCGGGAGCCAGGGGGGGGUCUGCGGGCAUGGCACAUCCUGGGCACCCCAAUGUGCUGGGUGUGGGGUCCCCGCUGUCCCCAUGGGGUCCCAGGGAUGGGCACGAGGUCAGGGAUGCCCGGGGCAGCGGCACGGCACGAUUUGAGGCGCUGCAGGCGGGGGAAUAAAGAGGCACCGCGCUCUGUGUGAUCUCCGUGU